RNAcentral lists this ribosomal RNA (253 nucleotides) under uncultured bacterium. RNAcentral's name for it is "partial 16S ribosomal RNA". It matches the Rfam family "Bacterial small subunit ribosomal RNA", at positions 524 to 776 of the family's 1533-position model. The record is from RNAcentral.
UACGAAAGGUGCAAGCGUUACUCGGAAUCACUGGGCGUAAAGCGCACGUAGGCGGACUCGUAGGUCAAUUGUGAAAUCCCUGGGCUCAACCCAGGAACUGCACCUGAAACUACCAGUCUUGAGUGGUGGAGAGGGAAGUGGAAUUCCUGGUGUAGAGGUGAAAUUCGUAGAUAUCAGGAGGAACACCAGUGGCGAAGGCGGCUUCCUGGACACCAACUGACGCUGAGACGCGAAAGCGUGGGGAGCAAACAGG